RNAcentral lists this ribosomal RNA (253 nucleotides) under uncultured bacterium. RNAcentral's name for it is "partial 16S ribosomal RNA". It matches the Rfam family "Bacterial small subunit ribosomal RNA", at positions 524 to 776 of the family's 1533-position model. The record is from RNAcentral.
UACAGAGACCUCAAGCAUUAUCCGGAUUUAUUGGGCGUAAAGCGUCCGCAGGUGGCUUAGCGUGUCAGGGGUCAAAACCAAGGGCUUAACCCUGGGAUCGCCUCUGAAACUACUAAGCUCAAGGGCGGGAGAGGUAAGCGGAAUUCUCGGUGUAGUCGUAAUAAGCGCUGAUAUCGAGAGGAACACCAAAUGCGAAGGCAGCUUACUGGAACGCACCUGACACUCAUGGACGAAAGCGUGGGGAGCAAACAGG